GCAACAUAUAAGACAUUCACAUAAAAUAAAUCAACAAAGAGCCCCGCAAUCAUCAAACUAAUUAAUUAAAAAAUGACACAUGCAUUACCACUUUAAGUAUCCCAAUAUUUGCUUGUUCAAGAUAAACUUGCCUCUUGAAGCAGAACAACACAAAAACAGAACUUAUUACUUGGGAUAGAUCCAAUACCCAUUAUCUGCAUCCAUUUAUUAGAAACAGGUUCCAUUUCUUUCAUCCUAACUUUGAUACAUUUCCCUUAACAAAAUGUCAAACUUGGCUCUCUUUUAAUCCUAAUGUGAUAUAUUCAAAGGGAAAUCCAAGUUAUAUUAUUUUAUGCUUUAGUUACACAUGUUGGAUGUUAUACUUCCUCUAACAUAUAAAGAUAAUAGAGUAUGAAUUGGUUACAUAAAUAACCUAUUCCACUAUGUUUUGGCUCACUAAUACAUCAAGUCUUUCAAAUCUCAUAAGGAUUCUGUUAUUGGAUGACUUAACAUCAAAAUACAAAUAAUUCAUCUCAUUAAACUUUCUUUCAUAUAAUGUACCCAUUCGGAAGUCACCUUGUAAUUCUAAAUAUUGAGAAAAAUCACCUCUACUACUAUUACAAACUUGAAUUGAACAGCCGGAGGCGAACGAAUGGGCCGAGUCAAGAGUUCGUGAAACGUGAGAUAAGCUUACUCAAGCUUGGACCAAGCAUCGCUAAAAGGUUAGAACUAAUCAAUUGGUUAGUUACCCUUCCACCCUUAUAAAACCUUUGAGUUUCUUAUUCUUUUCCAAUACGGGACUCUUGACACUCUCGCUCAAGUGGAAACCUUUUUUGUUGACACUUGAAAUUGAA
Molecule: unclassified non-coding RNA, 833 nt
Filed under: Hevea brasiliensis (rubber tree)
Lineage: Eukaryota; Viridiplantae; Streptophyta; Magnoliopsida; Malpighiales; Euphorbiaceae
Source: RNAcentral